CGGAUCGAUCGUGGUGAUUUGGGCCGGCCGGCUUGCAGCCACGUAAAACAAGUCGCUAAAAGGCCGGGCGCGACGGGCC
RNAcentral lists this non-coding RNA (79 nucleotides) under Lutibaculum baratangense AMV1. Its description in RNAcentral is "Phyllobacteriaceae bacterium AMV1 Alpha-proteobacteria SAM riboswitch aptamer". It matches the Rfam family "Alpha-proteobacteria SAM riboswitch aptamer". From Rfam's summary of the family: This family is a riboswitch found predominantly in alpha-proteobacteria that binds S-adenosyl methionine (SAM). The record is from Rfam by way of RNAcentral. RNAcentral also lists the same sequence under 1 other name. Lineage: Bacteria; Pseudomonadati; Pseudomonadota; Alphaproteobacteria; Hyphomicrobiales; Tepidamorphaceae.